RNAcentral lists this ribosomal RNA (394 nucleotides) under uncultured bacterium. Its description in RNAcentral is "bacterial SSU rRNA". It matches the Rfam family "Bacterial small subunit ribosomal RNA", at positions 775 to 1167 of the family's 1533-position model. The record is from RNAcentral.
GGAUUAGAAACCCGGGUAGUCCACGCCGUAAACGAUGAGUGCUAGGUGUUAGGGGUUUCGAUACCCUUGGUGCCGAAGUUAACACAGUAAGCACUCCGCCUGGGGAGUACGGUCGCAAGACUGAAACUCAAAGGAAUUGACGGGGACCCGCACAAGCAGUGGAGUAUGUGGUUUAAUUCGAAGCAACGCGAAGAACCUUACCAGGUCUUGACAUCUGGGUGAAACGUCUAGAGAUAGGCGCCUCCUUCGGGACAGCCAAGACAGGUGGUGCAUGGUUGUCGUCAGCUCGUGUCGUGAGAUGUUGGGUUAAGUCCCGCAACGAGCGCAACCCUUGGAUUCAGUUGCCAGCACAUCAAGGUGGGCCCUCUGAAUCGACUGCCGGUGACAAACCGGA